AGAGUAUUUCAUCUGGUUUUGGAGUUCUACUAAAGGAGCAAGGAGUGAGAGGCUUCUUCCGUGGUUGGGUUCCUACCCUUCUUGGUUACAGCGCACAGGGUGCUUGCAAGUUUGGAUUCUAUGAGUUCUUCAAGAAGUACUAUUCUGACCUUGCUGGACCUGAAUACUUUGCCAAGUACAAGACUCUCAUCUAUCUUGCUGGCUCUGCAUCUGCUGAGGUGAUUGCUGAUGUUGCACUUUGCCCCUUUGAGGCAGUCAAGGUCAGGGUUCAAACCCAGCCUGGUUUUGCUAGGGGUCUGUCUGAUGGUCUUCCCAAGUUUGUCAGAUCUGAAGGUGCUCUCGGGUAUGCUCCUAUGCGCUAUGUUAAAUUUUCCUUUUAAAUAAUACAAGGAAACGUCUGUCAGAAUGAGCUUUUAACUAUUUCCCUUUGCAGAUUGUACAAGGGUAUUGUUCCUCUUUGGGGCCGACAGAUUCCAUGUAAGUUUUCCAUGUACAGUUUGCUGAGUACUGCCUUUAUUAUCAUUUAUCAUUGCUUGGGAACUUGUACUUUUAUUUGGUCAUGCCUUCUUUUCCCUUUCCCCCUUCUCUCUAACCCACUUUUUCUGUUCAUAGUUCUAGCAUUUGCUAAGUGCAGCAAAGUGUAAGAUGUAUUUGUUUGAUCUUUCUUUGUUUCAGAUACCAUGAUGAAAUUUGCUUCUUUUGAAACUAUUGUUGAGAUGAUCUACAAGUAUGGUAUUCCCACUCCCAAGGAGCAGUGCAGCAAAAAUCUGCAGCUUGGUGUUAGUUUUGCUGGUGGUUAUGUUGCUGGUGUCUUCUGUGCUAUUGUUUCGCAUCCUGCUGACAACCUUGUCUCCUUCCUUAACAAUGCCAAAGGAGCAACUGUUGGGGAUGUAAGUUCUGUGCCUUGGAUGAUCCGUUUGAUAUUUAAUUCUCAUUUAUGAAGCAGUUUUUUUUUUACUUUACCUUGACCCUUUUACUAUCUCUUGGCAAUGUAGGCUGUGAAGAAGCUUGGAUUAUGGGGUCUGUUUACCCGUGGUCUUCCCCUCCGUAUUGUGAUGAUUGGAACUCUAACUGGAGCUCAGUGGGGUAUCUAUGAUGCUUUCAAAGUGUUUGUGGGGCUGUAAGUUCUUCCCAGCACUAGACUCGGUUAAUAUACAUGCUUUUGUGGUUUAUGCUAAUGUUUUUUCUGCAAUCCUUCAGGCCAACUACUGGUGGUGUUGCUCCUGUGCCUGCUGCUGUGGAGCUUGCCAAGGUAUAGAAUGUUGGAAAACCUGUUGUCAUGGGGGACAAGUAAAUGGAUUGCUGGAAUGGUUUGUCAAGCUGGUGGAAGGAUAUUCUUUUUUGCGUUGAGAACAUUUUUAUCAAGUCGCUCUGUUUUGGAAAAAACUGUUGGUUUUAGGAGAGGAUGGUUUUGAUCUCAUCCUCCAAAUUACGGAGACUAAUUAUUUUUGUAAUAGUUAGAUCAUAAAUGAAAUUUCAUUUGAAGAUCAUUCCCCCCCUUCUGUAGCAGUUAAAAAUAAGGAGCAGAUGCAGAUGGGGACGAUACUGCCUACUUUACCUUCUUAAGCAAGCUUUUUAAUGUAAUAUUGAGAACUUUUGUUCGGCUUUCUUUGAGUAAGGCAUCUCACUCUCUCUCUCUGCAAAAAAAUAUUUAUUACAUUUUUAGAUAUAUUUCAUGGAGGUUACAAGUAGUUAUUCAUAGAAAAGACGGUGCACCUUAGAGGGUUGUUUCACAUGACCGCAAUCGCACCACCCCAACCCAAUCAGCUCUUUCAACGUUAUAAAAAUCUCGCUUUGUCGCCAUUUUCUUGCUCAAAGUUAGCAAAAGUUUAGUCGCCAUCAAGAAACUUAAAUUGACUUUGUGUUUGAGUCAGAUAACCAGAGCGGUGAAUUAGUAGUGUUUGAUACAAACCUCUAAUGUUAUUAAGUGAUCUAAAUUCUUAUUUAAAUAAAAUACAGUGGUAAAAUAAAAUAAAAGUAAAAUUCUUAUUGAAAUAUACUUAUUUUAUUUUAUUUUAGAAUAAUAUUUUUUAAAUCUUAUUAAAUUUCAUUUUUUUAUAUUGAUUAGAAUAAGAUGUUUCAAUCUUACUAUACUUCUAUUAGAAUAUGGUUUUACAAGCUUAUAAAUAGAUAUAAUCUACCCCUGUUAUAAUUAUUCGAAUUCGACAUAGUGAAUUUUUUUCUCCUCUGCCCAUGUUUUUUCCCGAAAGGGUUUCUAUGUAAAAAUCUGUUUUUUCUUUAUUUUUAUUUCUCUUUUCUUUGUGAUAUAUUGUCAUUACCGAUCUUCUAUUUUUACAAAUUGAUAUCCGAGCUUCAGGUUUGUUCAUCUUAAUCACAGUAAUGGCGUCUUUAAAGUAUGAAAUUCUGCUGUUGGAUCGUAACACCAGAUUCGCGUUAUGGCAGAUAAAGAUGCAGGCAGUUCUUGCAUAGAUGGACUUAUAGGAAGUCUUGUUAGGGGUAAAUAAGAUGCUUUCGACAUUGACAGAGGAAGAGAAGAAGCGUAAGGAUCGAAAGGCGUUAACACAAUUACAUCUGCAUUUGUCUAACGAAAUUUUAUAGGAUGUGAUGGAGGAGAAGACUGUCGCUGGAUUAUGGAAGAGGUUGGAACAAAUAUUUAUGUCGAAAACUCUAACCAGCAAGCUGCAUAUGAAACAACGUCUUUAUGUUAAUCAUUUGGAGAAAGGUGUGUCUGUGCACGAACACUUAAUAGUGUUUAAAGAAAUUCUCUCAAACUUGGAGGCCAUGGAGGUUCAGUAUGAUAAGGAAGAGUUAGGGUUGAUUCUACUUUAUUCGUUGCCCCCAUCUUGUUCAACCUUUAGAGACACGAUUUUAUAUAGCCAUGAGUCUCUCACAGUAGAUGAGGUUUAUGAUUCUUUGACCUCGUAUAAUAAGAUUAAGCAUCUUGUGGUUAAAACCGACUCUCAAGUAGAGGGUCACAUUGUUCGUGGGAGACAAGAUCGAAAUGCUGAUGAUAAUCAUGAAAGGACACAGGAAUGGAAUCCUCGCGGUAAAUCUAAAGGUAGAUCGAAGUCUUCAAAUAUAGGUAAAACUUGUAACUUUUGCAAGAAAAAAUGGCAUAUUAAAUCUGAGUGCUAUAAGCUACAAAAUAAGAUCAAAAUAGAGAUUGCGAAUCAAAAGGGAAAAAAACCAGAAAAUUUUAGUGAAGCCGAUGUUGUAGAAGACUACAACGAUGGUGAACUUCUAGUCGUUUCUGUCAACAAUUCUAAAGUGAGCGAAGAGUGGAUCAUUGAUUCGAGCUGCACCUUCCACAUGAAUCCCAAUCGGGAUUGGUUUACAACUUAUGAAACAGUGUCUGAAUGUGUUAUUUUGAUGGGAAAUAAUGCUUCGUGUAAAACCGCAGGUGUUGGAACAAUUAAAGUUAAGAUGUUUGAUGGAGUUGUCAGAACACCUAGUAACGUACGACAUGUUACAGAAUUGAAGAGAAAUUUAAUUUCGUCGAGUACUCUUGAUUUAAAAUGGUAUAAAUACACAGCUGAAAGUGGGGUUUUGAAGAUUUUCAAAGGUUCCCUCGUUGUGAUGAAAGGGCAGAGAAAGACUGCCAAGUUAUAUGUUUUGCAGGGUUCUACUGUUACUGGUGAUGUAGCUGUCGCAUCCUUUUUCUUGUCAGAUGAUGAUAUUACUAAACUUUGGCAUAUGCGCCUAGGGCAUAUGAGUGAGAAUGACAUGGCAGAAUUGAGCAAAAGAGGACUUCUUGAUGGACAAGGAAUUUGCAAACUGAAGUUCUUUAAGCCCCGCGUUUUUGAGAAGCAAAAGAGAUUUCGAUUCACCAGAGGAAUCCAUAACACGAAUGGAACGUUGGAGUAUAUUCAUUCUGAUCUGUGGGGGCCAUCCAGAGUGCCUUCGAGAGGUGAAGCUAAUUACAUGCUAACUUUUAUAGAUGAUUUUUCGAGAAAAGUUUAGGCGUUCUUCCUAAAGCAGAAAAGUGAUGUGUUUUCCGCAUUUAAGUCUUGGAAAACUAUGAUUGAAAAAUAGACGGGAAAACAAAUAAAGUACCUCCGCACAGACAAUGACUUAGUGUUAUAUUCUGAUGAGUUUAAUAAAUUGUGGAAGUCAGAAGGGAUCAUGGGACACUUGACAGUUCAUCAUACUCUACAGUAAACGACGUUGCAAAACGAAUGAACAGAACGAUCAUGAAGAGUGUUCGAUGUAUGUUGUCAAAUGCCAACUUACCAAAGUCAUUUUGGGCCGAAGUAGCCUCUAUUGCAUAUUUUUUGAUCAACCGGUCUCUAUCUGUUGCCAUUGAGAAAAAGACUCCACAAGAGGUAUGGUCCGGUAAUCUUGUUGACUAUUCUGAUUUAAAGAUCUUUGGGUGUCCUACGUAUGCUCAUGUUGAUAAUGGAAAAUUGGAAUCGAGAUCCAUUAAAUGUGUUUUUCUUAUUUAUAAAGCUGGAGUAAAAAGGUAUAAGUUAUGGUGUCUUGAAAAUAGAAAAGUUGUGAUUAGUAGAGAUGUUGUUUUUUAUGAAAUUGCUAUACUACCUAACUUAUCUCUUAAAGGCUCUUCCAAUAAAGGAAAUCAAAAGUAGGUGGAACAUCAGAUUAAUCCAGAAUCUACAACAGAGUCGACUCCUCAAGCCAGUACAAAAAUUUAGAAUAGAGUUGUUUAUUCACCACAAUACUCUAUCGCCAAAAACAGAACUAGAAGAGAAAUUAAACCUCCAAAGAAGUAUGCUGAGGCUGAUCUAGUUGCUUAUGCUUUAAAUGUGGCUGAAGAUAUAGAUGCAAAGCAAGAACCAUCUAAUUAUUCUGAGGCGAUUAGCUGUGAAGACUCAGAAAAGUUGAUAUUUUCUAUGUAAUAGGAGAUGGAAUUACUCCACAAAAACAAAACAUGGGAUCUUGUGAAACUUCCUAAAGGUAAAAAGGUUGUUCAUUGUAAAUAGGUGUUUAAAAAGAAAGAGGGGACUCCAGGAGUUGAAGAGCCCAGAUAUAAAGUAAGGCUUGUUGCAAAGGGUUACAGUCAAAUUCCAGGAGUUGACUUCACAAAUAUGUUCUCCCUAGUUGUGAAACACAGUUCGAUUCGAGCUUUGUUUGGUAUUGUGGCCAUGGAUGAUUUGGAGCUUAAGCAGUUAGAUGUAAAAACUGUAUUUUUGCAUGGAAAACUUGAGGAGGAUAUUUACAUGAAACAACCAAAGGGUUUUAUAGUCUCAAAAAAGAGGACUAUGUUUGCUUGCUGAAAAAGCCCCUUUACAGUUUGAAACAGUCACCAAGAUAGUGGUACAAAAGGUUUGAUUCCUUUAUGACUUCUCAUGAUUUCAAAAGAAAUAACUUUGACAGUUGUGUUUACUUUAAGAAAAACAGUGAUGGUUCUUUUGUGUAUCUACUCCUUUAUAUUGAUGACAUUUUUAUAGCAGUGAAAGAUAAAUAAGAGAUAAGAAAGGUUAAAGCCCAACUAAGUGAAGAAUUUGAGAUGAAAGAUUUGGGACCAAUAAAGAAGAUACUUGGUAUGAAGAUUCUUAAAAAUAGAAAAGCAAGUGAAUUGUACCUAAGUUAGAAGGGGUACAUUGAAAAAGUUCUUUGCAAGUUCAAUUAGAGUGCUAAGCCUGUUAGUACUCCUUUAAUAGCCCAUUUCAAACUUUCAUCGGCUUUGUCUCCAUAAUCAGAUGAUGGGAUUGAGUAUAUGUCACAUGUUCCAUACUCUAGUGCAAUGGGAUCUCUCAUGUAUGCUAUGGUUUGUUCAAGUCCAGAUUUAUCAUAUGCAGUCAGUGCAGUUAGCAGAUACAUGACGAAUCUCGGUAAAGAACAUUGGAAAGCAGUUCAAUGGAUUUUAAGAUACUUACGAGGUACUACUGAUGUUUGCUUACAGUUUGGAAGAAUUAGAGAUGGAGUCAUUAUAACACCCCUAACCCGUAUCCAUUACUAGAACAGGGUUAUGGAGCAUUACCGGACCUAUCGGACAAUUUACAAUUAAUAUGAAAACCAACACAUUUUCACAUUCAAACCUAUUUAAAACAUGCCUUUCAUAAGUAAAUACUCAUCAUAUACCAAAUGACCAAAUUGUCAUCUUGAAUCAUCACCAAAACCUUUAUAAAAAAGACUCAAGCCUAUACAUGCCAUAGAACCUAUCGAAACCAUUUAAAAAAAAAGAAUAGUCAUCGACUUAAAAAAGAUUGGAGUCGCCACCGAUCUUUCAUUGAAGUGUGAUCGGAUCACCUUGAAAACGAUUUUGGUCUACGAAUUUUAAAAAACGGGUUCGGGAGUCAGUUACGUACGAGGAAGGAUUAGCACCCUCGUAAUGCCCAAAAUUGGUACCUAAUCUAUUAAUCAAUGUCUUAAUGUCGAAAAAUUGAAAAUUCAAAAAGAAAUUUAAAAUACGAUCCUUUGUUAAAAUAUCUAAAAAAAUUCAAGAAAGGGGCACAUUUCACGUCAAUCGAGAAAGAGAAUCAUGUCCCGUAAGUUAGGACACAAUAUCUUGAAUUCCCGAUACGAGAAUAAAUGCUGAAAAAUUUACCUAUUUGAAAGAUAUUCGAUUCUCUAGGUUUUAGAAAAAAAACCAUAUUCCGUAAGUUAGAACAUAGUCUCAUUAAUUCCCGAGAUAAUUUAAAAAAUAUGUUUUUGAAAAAUGAUUUGUAUAUUCGGAUUUAUCGAAAAAUCGAAACCCCAUAAGUUAGGGGUCAAUUUUCUCGAAUUCCGUGGGUAUGAAAUAUUGUAUUUGUUUUUAAAAAAAUAUAUUUUUACAAAUUUGGAUAAAAAUGUUCGAUGUUCGAAAUAUUACAUGCAUGAAAUAUUGCACUAAUAAAUAACAAUAACGAAUAAUAAUAAAGGCAAUUUACGAGAAUUAUAUUAUAUGCACUAUUUUACAAUAAUAUGAACAAUCAAGGAAUAACAAUAAUAAUAGAACCAAAGCAUGCAAAUAAGAGGGAAAAAAACACUAAACAAAAUCCAAGUAAAUAAAAUAAAUAUAUAAAAGAUUUAAAAAAGGUUUAUGAAAAUAUUGAAAGUAAUGAUCUAAAUUACAACAUAAGUGAGAUUUAAAUAAAUAAUUUAGAGUAAAAUAUGUAAAUAAGUGAAAUAAUGAAAGCAAUAAAUUAAUAAUACUAGUACUAAUACUAAUAAUAAUAAUAAUGAAGUUCACGAAUAAAAAUAAAACAAAACAAAAUAAAAGAAAGAUUAAACAUAAAAAUCACGAUGAAAUAAUAAAAAUAAAAGAGUAAAUAAAAUAAAUAAAUAAAACACAACACAAAAUAAAAUUAAAACCAAGACAGAGACAAAAAGAGGCUAAAUUGUUAUUGGAAUAAAAUUAAAAGCUAAAAAAUAAAUUUUUGAAUACAAUUGGGGCUAAAAUUAUAAACAAAUAAGUGCAAAAGGACUAAAUUGAAAUUUAAUAAAAAAUGGGGUAAAAAUCGAAAGUAAAAAUAAAGGAAAGGGCCCAAUUGAAAAGCGCGCAUAACUCAGAGGGACUAAAUGGGGAAAUAUCCCCGCCCUCUGCAAUGCACCAUUUCGUCAGGACUAAAUCGAAAAAAGAAUAAAAUUUGAAGUAUUAAUUGAAAAAUAAAGAAAAAUUGGAUUAAAAUAAUCAAAAUAUGCGGAAGGACUAAAUGCACAAAUUGCCCAUUAAUAAAAAAAACACACGAAUUCUCCCCAGGUAAGGUCAACACACGGAUUAAGGCUCAAAACGACGCUGUUUUGGGGCUAUGGAGGCCAGCCCUAAAUGACAUCGUUUCAUGGGCUUAUAAAAGUCAAUUUUUUUUAAAAAAACUGCAUUCUUCCUCAUUUCAAAAAAAAACACUAAAACCCCUAAAAUUUCUCUCAACCUCCCUUUUAGCCGGUCGAACUCCUACCGUCGGCCAUCGUGUCGGCCACCGGUCGUCGGCGAAGGUGCCGCUGUCCCCGGUGGUCGAAAAAUCAAAAGGAACCCAUUUUUUUGGGCUUUUCAACUCCCUUGGCCUAAAAACGUUGUUUUUCAUUGGAAACGACGAACUUCGGCCUCAAGAUGACGCAAAACGUAAAUAAAAGGUAAGUUUUUAUUAUUUAUUAUUUAUUUUCGAAAAGAUAAAAAAGAGUAAAAAAGAAAGAAAGAAAAAUCAAAUUUUCUUGAGUCUGUUAAUUUUUUGAUUUGAUUUUUCUAUUUUUCAUUCAUUCGUAAGUAAAAAAAAAUACAAAAAUCGGGGCCUUUUGUAUAGCCUGAAAAUAUCCUCUUUUUCUAUUUUUCUGUUAGAUUCUCCUCGUUUAUUCGUUUUGCAGGUACAAGGCCGUUAGCCAGCUGGUGUACAGAGCGGCACAUGCGGGGGAGGCGACGACAGUUAAGGCGGCGGCGGCUAGGGUUUUCCCUUCUUUUUUGCUGCUAAAAAUGUUUAGUUUUUGGGCCAUAUUAGGCCACUAGGGUUUUUUGGUUAUUGGGCUAGUUGAGUUUUGUAUUUAUUAUUUUUGGUGUUUUAUUAUUUGGGUUUGGGUUAUUUGCUUAGUUGGGCUCGAGCAAAAUGGGUUGUUACAGAACCAAUAUCACAAAGCUUAUAAAUACCAAACCAUAGCUGGAUAGUGUGAUGAGAUCUCUAACGACUUCCAACUCGAGCAAGCCUGCGAAACUCUAUAAACAUAGGAAAGAAAACAAAGUAAGCUAUAAAGCUUAGUAAGCUCGUAUGGAAAUAAACUCAUGUUAUUAAAUAACCGCAUUUAAAACAAUUAUUCAAAAUAUGAUAUAAUUCAUAUGAUUGCACCAUUCUAUUUCAAAUUCAUGCACAUAGUUAAUCCAGAUUUUCAUGAGUUUAUUCAUUCAAAACACGUAUAGUUUGAAUACUUCUUAUCAAUUCUUUCACAUUUUUAUAUGCGUAAGCAAUUAUAUAUAUACUUUAUUCAAUUCAAUAUUCAUCACCUUUUCUUUAGCCAAGUGAAUUAUCAUCAAAUAACGAUAUUUCGCACACAAUGUGCCAUAUGUAUAUUUAGUUAAAACAACUAUAACUCAUAUCUCACAUAUCAUCUAUACAAUUCACAUAGAUCACAUUUCAAUUCAUUCUCAAUCAUAUAAUCGGUAACAGUAUAAUACCUGUUGAACCUAAUGAAACAUCUAAGGAUACUCGGGUGAUACACAUUAUGUGCAUUAAUCGGUAAUCCAUCAAUUCAUUAUCAUUUUCGCUCUUUCGAACUAUGAUCGGUAAGCUCAUUCCGAGCUGAAGAACGGUAAGCUUUAUUCUAGCUAAAACGGUAAGCUCAUAAGAUUUGAUAUAUCGGUAAGCUCAUACGAGCUGUGGUGAGUCCGCCACAAAUGUAGGAGCUCGAACAAAAAGGUAACCCUAGUGACAUGUCACUCGUAUCCUACGAUUUUCUAUAGUUCAAACGGGACUCGGUAUUACUCAAUACAUUUCAAAUUAAGCAAUUCAAUAUCGUUUAUUUCAACCAUUCAAUUCACAUAUAUAUCCAUAUUCAGUUUGCAACAGCCCGAUUUUGACCCUAAUUGGAACAGUGGUUUCGGGACCACACAUCUGAGUUUGAAAAAUAUUUUAAUAUUUUUAUUCUGUGUUUAUCAUGUGUAAAUUUACAUGUGUGAAAGUUUCGUGAGUUAAUUUUAUUGUUUGAGUGCUUAAUUUGAGAAAAGGGGCUUAAUCGCGUAAAAUGAAAAUUUGAUGGUUAAUUAAGAAAAUGCCUAAUUGUUGUUGUCUUUAUAAGUUGGAGGCCUUAUGUUGUAAUUUAGUCAAUAAUAAUAGGUAGUGGAUGACAUAAUGAUGAUAUGUGAUUUAUAUAUAUAAAUAAAAGUUAAAAUAAUAAUAUAAUAAUAUAUGUUAUAAUAAAACAAAACAUUAAAAAAGCCACCAUUUUUUAUGUUCAUCUUUCUUCACCGAAUGUAGAAAAUAAAAACAAGGUUUGAAAGCUUGAAACAUUCGGCCAUUUUGAAGCUUAAUUCAAGGUUGGUUUUUGUUCGGUUUUUGAUAGAUUUUACGUUUUGAGAUCGUUGCUUUGAAUACUUCAAAACCCAUGUCUUAAUUUUGUGAAUUGUUGAUGAUUUUGAUAAAUGCCAUUGAUGAAUGCUUGAAAUUUGUGAUAGUUGAUGAUGAAAUAUGAAAGAUAUGUGAAAGAUUAACAUGUUUCGUCUUUGAAUUUUUGAUGAAUUUGAGUAAUUAGGGUUAAAUUGUAAAAAUAAAUUUUUGAGGGACUAAAAUAUGAAAUAAAUGAAAUGUGUGGGCUUGUAUGGACACUAGGAAUAUUCGGCCCUUAAGUGUAGUCAAAUUUUGUGUAUUUUGUGUUUUGAGCAAAAAAGACUAAAUUGUAAAAAGUGUGAAAUAUUAGGGGCAAAAUUGUAAUUUUCCUAUUAAUGUGUUUUUAGGCUAAAUUGAAUAGAAUGGUGUUUAAAUAAGCUUAAUUUGAAUGUGCUUAGAUCAAGAAUUAAAGAAAUCAGAUUUGGAUCGGGGAAAGACAAAAGUGGUCGAGUAGCCGAUUUAAUAGUCGACGACAUUCGACGUAAGUCAAUAAGCAUUUAAAUGUUGAACUAACUAUGGUAUAUAUAUUUGUUAUGCAUUGAAAUGAAUUAUUUGAAGUUAUAUAAGCUAGUGCCGAAUGUAAUAUUGUGAAUUGAUUAUAUUUCGAGAAUGAUAUAAAUUAGAUGUGAAUUAUGUGAAAGACCGAUUUUGUAAGUUCAGGCUUUAUGCCUGGCAGGCUUUAUACCUGUGAAUUAUAUCAGGCUUUAUGCCUAGCAAGCUCUGUGCCGGUGAAUUAUAUCAGACUUUAUGUCUAGCAGGCUUUGUGCUAGUGAAAUGUAUCGGGUUUUGUGCUUAGCAGGCUUUAUGCCGGUGUUUUAUACAAGGCUCUAUGUUCUAUAAAUCUUAUGUGAGCAAUAGUAAAAACAAAUAAAUGUGUUAAGAAAGCUAAAUUAUUCAAGUAUGUGUUAGCCAUUUGCUUAAUUGAUGAUAAGGUAAGUUGGUUAUUUUUAAUUGAUAAUAGUUUCAAAUGAAAUAUACAGUAUGAGUUAACCAUUUGAGUAUAAGCAUGUUUUGGCAUAAUGAUUUAUUGAAUAUUCAGUUUUGCUAAAUAUUUAUGUGUAUUUGGCCAUAUGGUUUGUUUAUAUGAAAAUACAAUGUGAUCUUUAUUCAAGUGUUAUAUGGUACAAAAUAUUAGGAUAUUUGGUUUAUUUAACUUAAUGAUGGAAUAAGUAUUAAUAUAUAUACAUAUAUGAAUUUUUGCUUAUGACUUACUAAGCUUUAAUAGCUUAAUGUGUGUUUGUAUUUGUUUACUUCUGUUUUAUAGAUUUUGGAGUCGCAUUACGAGCUCGGGGAUCAUCAGCAUAGUCUAUCACACUAUCGACCGUCUUUGGUAUUUUAUAAAUUUGAAUUUUGAACCUAUGACAUAUAUUGUCCAGUCAAUAUGUUUAAUUUUGGGAUAUGUGAAUAUGAGCAAUGCGAAAAUGGUUUAUUCAUUUUGGUUAAGCUUGGUUUUAUGUUUUUGAUCUAUUGAUAUAUAUAUUUGAUGUUUAAGUUUAUGCAAAUUUCGGUUAUAUAUAUAGAAGUGUAAUGUGUUUAGCAUAAUUGUUAAUAGUUGUAUAAAUUAGUUAUAUUUAAGCCUAUUUCGAAAGUAAUAUGUGUAUUACAUGUAUAUGAUGUAUUAUGUCUAUGUUGCCUAUUUGUUGUAUAUAUGCUGUUAAAUUUUGGUGUAAAAAUGCUGCUCAAUUUGGUACGUAUAUGCUGCCCAUUUGUUGUAUAUAUGCUGUUAAAUUUUGGUGUAAAAAUGCUGCUCAAUUUGGUAUGUAUAUGCUGCCCAUUUGUUGUAUAUAUGCUGUUAAAUUUUGGUGUAAAAGUGCUGUUAAAUUUGGUAUGUAUAUGCUGUCCAUUUGUUGUAUAUAAGCUGUCCAAAUUUUGGUGUAUAAAUGCUGUUUAAUUUGGAAUAUAAAUGCUGUCCAAAUAGAUGUAUAAGAGCUGUCCAAACAAGGUAGAUUAUCCAUAUUGUAAUAUGUAGUAUAGUAAGUAAAUUUAAAUGAAAUAAAUGUGUACAAAUAAAUAUUUGGAUACAUGCUUGAUUUAUGAUAUAUAAUCAUAUAGGUUUGGAAAUGUUUUAAGAAUUUGAAUUAUAUCAAAUUUUGAUUAGGUAAAUCAUAAUGAUAUGGUUGAAUUUUGAAACAUAGUUGAUAUAUGUAAUUUGAUUAAUGAUGCAUGUUUGAUUUUAAUUGAUUAUGUGCUUAAAUAUAUAUAUAUAUUUGGGAAGAAAUUUUGUGGUUGAGUUAGUAUAAAAAAAAUUGGGUCGGGUUUUGAUCGGUACUGACUCGUAACUCUAAUCCGGCGACGAACACGAGUCAGGUUGUUACACAGUUCAUACAAUUGCAAUUAAAUGAAAGUUCAAUUCUAAUUAUACGAACUUACCACAUUGCAUAAUUUAAGCAAUUAAAUCAAUAUGUCCAACUCGAAUAUUCAAAUGCCUAUCAUACAUGCACCUCAAUAGGUUAGAGUCUCAAAUAUGCAUAUAACCAACAUUUCAUCCAUGAAUGCUUCAAUUUGGCAUUCAACUCACAUAGCAUUUCAUUCAUACAUUUCAUGAAAUUUCAUUUCCAUUUCUAUACAUCCUCAUAACACAUAUCAUAUUUCAUAUACAUGAUACACUAAGUGUAACACCCCUAACCCGUAUACGUCGCCGUAUUAGGGUUACGAGGUAUUACCGAACAAACACAACCAUUUUUAUUUUCCACACCAAUUCUUAAUACAAAACAUACAUAUCCGUCAAUUCAAUAUCAUAGCACAACCAAAACUCAUCCCUUAACCAAUUUACAGCAUAAACACCACUUCAAAUUAAGGUUAGAUCAUGAUCAAAUAUAGAUUAUGUUCUUUCAUACUCUUUAGCCGAAUUGUUUAAUAAAAACUUACAAGCAUUUUUACUAUGUUUUAAACUUACUAAUACAAACUAAUUCAUAAUUUAUUCAUGAUGUAACCAAUCAAGAAAUAUAAUCAAGUUAUCAAUCAUACUAAUUAUCAUUUAUACAAAUAGACUUAUACCAUGGUCGAAUCAUUUAAAUCAAUCACAUUGAACAUUCGACCUAGAAUAUAUAAAACUAAGUUUAAACAUAAUGAUCAAGCCAUUUUUAACUAAACCGACUUUAAGCAUAGGAAAUAGACCAUUAAAACAUAUUCGUUAAUACCAAAUUCAAAACGAAAAGAGAUAAGCCAUUUUCGCAUGGCUCAUAUUCACAUAUCCCAAAAAUUUAGACAUAUUAACUAGACUAUACAUGCCAUAGGUUCGAGUUCAAAAUAUAUAAAAUACCAAAGACGGUCAAUAGUGUGAUAGAUUAUGCUGAUGAUCCCCGAGCUCGUAACGCGUCUCCAAAAUCUAUAAGAAUAGAUAGAUAAAGAUAACCAAAGUAAGCUUUUAUAGCUUAGUAAGUCUAUAGCGUAUCUAAAAAUACGUAUAAAAGAAUCACAUAAUUAUUUAAGUAAAUUUAUCGAAAUCACAAUUAUCAAAUAUAAUUACUAACCAAACAUUUCUAUAUUCAGUCAUUUCGUUUAAAUCUAAAAGAAUGUAUAUUUAACUAAUAUACAUAAACGGACAAAGGUAUAUACAUUAUAUGCAUAAAAUCAAAUUACUAAAAUAAUCAUUAUCUGCAUAUACAGAUUUCUAGAGUACUUGUUGUUCGUACUUCAUCGGAUCCAUUUAUAUAUAAUUGUUCAAUUACAUAUACCAAAAGCAUAAUUUUUAUACUUAUAAACUAUAAACGCCGAAUGCACAUAUUCACUUAUACCCACCUAUGCCGAAUGCAUACAUAUAUACACUUAUAUCUACCUAUGCCGAAUGCAUACAAAUAUAUAUCCACCUAUGCCGAAUGCCUACAUAUGCACACAUAAAUAUCCAACAAUUUUCAUGACAUCCGAGAUAUAUAUAUACAUACUCACUAAUCACAAAUAUUCGAACAAUUAUAUACUCAUCAACAUCUUGAAACAAUGUUCAUACAUUCAUCCAUUUCAUAUAAAAUCAUAUCUAUAUUUAUACCAAAUGCUUAGAAUCACUUAAUUCAUCAUAUUCGGAUCACCGGCACUUAGCCUGCUAGGCUUAUAGCCUGAUUCAGAUCACCGGCACUUAGCCUGCUAGGUUUAUAACCUGGUUCAUAUCACCGGCACUUAGCCUGCUAGGCUUAUAGCUUGAUUCAGAUCACCGGCACUUAGCCUGCUAGGUUUAUAACCUGAUUCAAUUCACCAAUUCCAAACUUGAAAAUUCAAUGAUUCAACCGAAUACAUUUAUAUAUAUAUUUUGAGUCUAUCAUAUACAUAUAUAAUUACGUACUCAUAAUCAAAGCAUGAAUUUAUAUUUGUAUACUCAUACAUAUUCGAAUAUAAUAUAUAUACAUCCAUAAUUUUAUUCCCAAAUCCAUAUAAGGUAUCAUACAUGUAUAUGCAAGCUUGUUCGAUCCACAUAUAUAUAUUACACACAUAUAUAUAUUCGCACAUUAUAUAAACACAACCAUAACAUUUGAACUUUUAAUUGAAUCCAAAAAUUUAUACUUUUAUAUACAUACCUAUUCGAACAUCACAUGUAUAUGUAUGAAAUUCACACAUCAACUAACAUAAAUUUUAUACUUGUAAUUAUAACUCAUUAAUUAUAAAAUAAAUAUACUUAUAUAUAUUGAUUUGGUAACAUGAAUUUUUGCUAACAGACUUACCUCGGAUAUCAGCGGACACGAUCGACUAUUCGAUUACUUUCGUUUUUCCCCGAUCCAAAUUCAUUUUCUUCGUUUCUUGAUCUAAACAUAAUCAAAUUUAACCUUUUUAUUCAUCAAAACAUUCAAUUAAUUUCAAAAAUACAUAAAUGGGAAAAUUACCAUAUUGCCCCUAACAUUUUGCACUUUUUGCAAUUUAGUCCUUUUUGCACAAAACACAAAAUACACAAAAUUUGCCCAUACCACACAAGGGCCGAAUAUUCAUGGUUCUCAUACAAGUCCACACAUUGCAUUUAUUUCACACUUUAGUCCCUCAAAAAUUUAUUUUCACAAUUUAACCCUAAAUACUCAAAUUCAUCAAAAAUCCCAAGACAAAACAUGUUAAUCUAAGACAUAUCUUUCAUUAUUCAUCAUCAAACAUCACAAAACACAAAUAUUCAUCAAUGGCAUAACUCAAAAUAUUCAUCAAAAUCAGAAAUUCAAGCAUGGGUCGGGUAGUAUUCAAAGCAACGAUAUCAAAAACGUAAAAAUCAUCAAAAACCGAAGCAAAAACAUACCUUAAUUAGACCUAGAGAUAGCCGAACCUUGUUGUUCUCUUUUCUUUUCUUUUUCUUUUCUAUAUUCGGCCAAGAUGAAGAACAUGGCAUUUUAAUUUUGUUAUAUUAAACAUAUAUUAGCCUUAUUUUUAAUUUACUAUAUUAACCUUUACAUAUAUAUAUAACAUAUAUAAUAAGGUUACAUUAGUCAUUUGCCACCCACUAACUUACAUAGUGGACUAAUUGCAUAAUAAAACCUCUAAAUUAUAAAGACAACAACAAUUAGGUGCUUUUAUAAUUAACCCCUAAAUUUUCAUUUUACGCGAUUAAGCCCUUUUAUUAAAUCGGACACUUAAACGACGAAAUUAAAACACGAAAAUUUCACACAAUCAAAUGCACACAAAAUAAACACACAAAAUAAUAUUAAUAAUAUUUUUCUAAUUCGAAUUUGUGGUCUCGAAACUACUAUUCCGAUUAGGGUCAAAAACCGGGUUGUUACACUAAGAACUUACCAAAUUACCUUCAUUUGAUUCUCAUUUAGGUUUUGUACGUAUCUGUAUCACUUAAUUUGAUUGUACUUUCAUUCUCGUAUUGACUUUGCCCGUUGAACCAUUCGGAAUCGUUAAGGAUACUCAGAAAUCAUAAUUUCUCAUACAAUGUCAUAUCCCAGAUAUAGUCUUACAUGUUAUCACAAAUCGAUGCCACUGUCCCAGACAAGGUGUUAUACGAAAUCAUAUAAAGAUGCCAAUGUCCCAGACAUGGUUUUACACGUAAUCACAAUACAAUGCCAAUGUCCCAGACAUGGUCUUACAUGUUAUAACCUCUCAGUAAUCCUAAUGUCAUGACAUUUGUAUCAUACGAGGCUUUUGGAUGUCGUAACUCCUUCGAUUUCGGCUCGUAUUCAUGACCAUUCAUCAUUCAAUUCAAUUAAAUAAUAAUUAAGCAUUUAUAACACAAUUUAAAUAUGUUAUUAGCAUACGAACGUACCUCGUUCGCUGUAACGACGAAUUAGGUCGACUAAUUCGAUACUUUAUUUUCCCUCGUUCUAGAUCCGAAUCUCAUUUUUCUCAAUCUAUAUAAUAGCAAAAUUUGCUUAUUUAAUCAUUAAUCCAUUCAAUUUAACACAUUUUAUACAUUUUGGAAAAAUUACACUUUUGCCUUAUUAUUUAACAUUUUUGCAAUUUAGUCCUUAUCACAUAAAAUCAUAAUUUCAUGCAAUUUCAUCCUACCCAUGCUUAGCCGAAUUCUUCUUAUUGCCUUAGCAGCCCACAUUUUCCAAAUAAUCACACUUUUAACCACAUAAUUUUAAUAUUUCAUAAUUUAAUCCCUAAUUUGCAUUUUUAUCAAAAAAUCACUUUAUAAAAUAUGAAAGUCUAACAUUAAAUAUUCAUAUAAAGAACACAUAAGCUCAUCAAUGGAAACUAUCAAAAUCUUUAAUAGUUUUGAAAUCAAAGACACGAGCUAGCUAGUACUAGUUGCAACGAUCUAAAAAACGUAGAAAUCAUUAAAAGUAGAUCAGAAUCCAUACCUAUUUGAGAAAAAAAAUACCAUGGCCGAAAGUCAAGCUCAUCCAUGGCUGUUUCAAACUCCAUUUUUGAUUGUAAAUUGGAUGAAAGAAGAUGAUAAUUAACUUUGUUUUAUUUAUUUUAUCUUUUAUUAUCAAAUACCAAAAUAAACCUUUAAAAACAUUAGUAACUACACCAAAUGCCACUUCACUAUCAUCCACUAACUCACAAAUGAGCUAUUUGCCACAUAAGAACCUUUACUUUAAAGUUCUUUAGCUAUUUGACACCUUUAGCUUAUAGAACACAACUUUUGCACUUUAACUUUACGCGAUUUAAUCCUUUUUAUCAAAUUAAGCACCCAAAUGAUAAAAUUUCUUCACGAAAUUUUUACACAAUCAUAAUAUCAUACUGUAAUUAUUAAAAUAAUAAUAAAAUAUUUUUUUUGGUAUCAGAUUCAUGGUCUCAAAACCACUGUUCUGAUUUGACUAAAAAAAAUGGGCUGUUACAGUCAUUGGGUAUGUUGAUGCUGAUUUUGCUGGAGACCUUGAUAAAAGAAGAUCUCUUAUGGGUUAUGUUUUUACAAUCGAAGGUUGUGCAAUCAGUUGGAAAGCCACUUUGGAAACUAUAGUCGCUUUAUCUACCACUAAAGCUGAGUACAUGGCGAUUACUGAGGCUUGUAAAAAAGCUAUUUGGUUGAAGGGACUCUUUAGUGAACUCAAUGAAGACCUUCAAAUCAAUACAGUAUUUUGUGAAAGUCAGAGUGUCAUCUUCCUUACAAAAGAUCAAAUGUUUCAUGAAAGAACAAAACACGUUGAUGUUCAGUAUCAUUUUGUUCGUAAUAUUAUUGCUGGUGGUGAUAUUGUUGUAAGCAAAAGUAAUACUCAUGAAAAUCUUGUAGAUAUGAUGACUAAGUCACUUCCUAUAACCAAGUUUGAGCAUUGCUUAGACUUUAUUGGUGUUCAUUGUUGAAGUUAAACCCUUAAAGGGUUUUAUGGAAGAGGUGGAGAACUUGUUCGUUGAGAGUUCGCGAUGAAGAACUUGUUAAUUGAGAAUUUGUGUCAAGGUAGAGAUUGUUAGAAUUAAGUGACCCGAAUCCUUAUUUAAAUAAAAUACAGCGGUAAAUAAAAUAAAAGUAAAAUCCCUAUAGAACUACACUUCUUUUAUUUUAUUUUAUUUUAGAAUAAGAUUUUUUAAACCUUAUUAAACUCCAUCUAUUUGAUAUUGAUUAGAAUAAGGUGUUUCAAUCUUACUACACUCCUAUUAGAAUAUGGUUUUACAAGCCUAUAAAUAGACAUAAUCUACUCUUGUAAUUAUUCGAAUUUGACAUAGUAAAUUUUCUUCUCCUCUACCCGUGGUUUUUUCCCAAAAGGGUUUCCACGUAAAAAUUUGUGUGUUCUUUAUUUUUAUUUCUCUUUUCUUUACGAUAUAUUGUCAUUACUAACCUUCUAUUUUUACAGUUCUAAUGCCAAGUGAGAGGGUUGGUAAAAGAAUAGUGCCUCAACCGUAUCUCACAAACAAUAACAUCAUUUGCCCAAGUCCUACCUUCCACCCUAAUACCACCCAACUCACAACCCUUGCUCAAAAACAAGAACGUCAUCAUCAACAUUCAACAGCAAAGUUAUCAGAAAAAAAUAGAAAUAGCAAAAUUUCCAUUCGCAUUUAUCACUGGUGACAGACCAUCGUGCUCACCCACAGCUUCAGGAUUUUCGUUCUCUCUCACAUCGACAGAUUCUUGGCGGCCAGUAAAGUUUCCCAGUAUUCCGGUGGGUUUCAUUGACAGUGUUAUUGAACUCAUGCGCCAGUAGUUAAAGCAUAUUGGGUAUCAAUGUUUUCCCUUUCUGGGGAAUCUCCAUCAUCAUUGUCUGAAAGUCUUAUUUUUUGAAGGUGAAACCAGGAGCACUCCCUUCUCAUCUAUUCCUCCUCUCUCUUUCUCUUGUUGGCACUCAAUCCUUCAUUGAUUUGAAAUUCCCUAAACCAUCCAACACUCUUACCUCUCUAGUUUCAGCCUGAACCGCAGCAUGGCCUUCAGUCUUGGCACUUCUUCUUUGAAUUGCACCUUUUCCAGUUCCUUUAACAUCCUUAUAUGACAUUUGUUUCUUCAAACAUGUUGAAACUAGGACUGGAUCAAUCAUUUUUCAUGCUUGUUUAUUCCUCCCAGGCAACUAGUGAACUAAAAGAGAAAACGACCCCCAACGUCAAAGGAAAAUGCCACCCACCUAUAGUCCCCAUCACAAUAGAAUCAGGAAAUAGAUGCUUUAUUAUGUUCAAAUACAAUAAAUUAUAACACAAGAUUUAGUUGAUAGAAAAUUAACAAAAAACGGCAGCUAACGGUUUCGUAGAAGAUAAUGCCACUGUUCUAUACAAGACAAAGAUGCAAAUCUGGUAAUUAACAACCCUAACUUGCAUACAUUCACAUUUUGAUUACAGAACUGUUUGAUUUCUUCUCCCUACAUGUGUGUUUUAUAUAUGGGAUAACAUAAAAUUCUGGCUUAAGCUGUAGUAUUAGCAUUGAUAAUUUGAUUUUGAUUGGGACAUAAACAUGAACAAGGAAGUGACCUGUCUAAGUAGAACCAAACAUUUCUUUUACUUGACAUUAAUUUCAAAUUCCAUCCUUAAAUAACCUUAUCUUUAUCCUUAAAAAAAUCAUUACACAAGCAAAAUUUAAAAAUUUUCUUAAGCAAUACUAAAGCAAGUGAAUGAUUCAUGCCAUUUCCCAUUUUUACAAAUAUUAAGGAGGGUCUUUACUCUUUAGCCUUGAGGUUGCAAAUAUUAUAUAUAGUUUGCCAUUUCUAAACCCACUUUGUCAAUCUUUUCCACCGUUAACAAUAGAUAUUCAAUGCCAUAUGGUAGGUUUGACUUGCCUUUACUUACUCUUUGGACCAUUAGUCGGGACCACUAGAGACAAUUAAAGGGACAUCUAAUGUUGCAAACUUCUAUUCUAACAUCCAUGCAUUAACCUGGUACUAAACUGUAAUAUUUUAAAACUUAUUAAAUACUAAAACAAAACGCAGGUAUUAAAAUGGAAAAAAACUUUAAGUACCAAAUUGAAUAUCGAACUUAAAUUCAAGUAUGAAAUAGGAUAUUAACCUUAUAAGAAAAAGGGAAUGACCAUUUUCGUAAUUAACAUAAAAUUACAAGGUCAAUUAGGUAUGGUGCGUAUAAAUCACGCGAGGGUUUUCUUUCCCAUUUCCUUUGUAGUGCCCAAUAAUAAAGCCGGGAACGUAUGUUUUAACACAGAGUUUGGCAAGCGAGAGAAACAAAAUCCGAAGGGAAUCCCAAUUUCUUCGCUUUUCAUCUUCUCUCGCUUCCAUUUCUCCGUUUUUCCCCCUCCGGCAAUGGCUAUCGAUUCUGAUUCUUUCAAACAAUCACUUCUCCCUAGCUUCCUUUACUCUUCUGCUCCCAACUCUUUCUCUCUGGAUCGACUCCUCAACGCCAACAGCCCUGCUUUCUCUGCUUCACGCUCCACUAUACCCGGUGCCCCCGCGGCCUCUUCCUCGCCGUCGAUCAAGGCGAGAACUUUCAUGAUCCCCUCCCCCAAUGAGCCCGGGAAGAAGAUUGAGAUGUAUUCGCCUCAGUUCUACGCUGCUUGUACCUUUGGCGGUAUCCUUAGCUGUGGUCUCACUCACAUGGCCGUUACUCCUCUUGACCUCGUCAAGUGUAAUAUGCAGGUUUACAGAUCUGGCUCUCUUCUUUUUUUUAUCCUUCUAUUGUUUAUUUUUGCUAGUUUUUUAAGAUUAGAUCUGAGAUAAGCUUGUUGUUCGCUUGAGAAUUUUGAUUGACAAGUUGUUUGCUUAUGAGAUCCGUGCCUACUUUUUACUGCUUCAGUUCCAGAACUAAAAUCACUGUCUGUCGGUUUUAUUGAUGAUCAAGGCUUCUGUCCCUUCGACUUUGGUACCUUGUAUUUCAAGUUUUGCUUUUUAGGAUGUCAUUUAUAGGAAUACGGAACUAUUUAGGAGUAUAACUUCGGUUGCAAUUGAGAUUUGAUUUUUUUUUUUUGGUUCAAAUCUCUCAAUUGUUAACUUGUGUUAGAUCCUUGUUGUUGGAAAGUCUGGUUGUGGAGAAGGAAUGGAGGUCCAUACGGUGGAUGAGAGGUAGUAGGAUUAGUGUUUAUGUGCUGUGGAAGUGAUUUAAUGGAGUAACAUUAUAUGAAGUAUCUUAGGGAAGAAGGUGAUGAAAUUGGGUUAUUUUUAUCCUUUAAGAUAGGGUCUUGUGUGGGAUGCUCAGUGUUGUCGAUGGCGCAAGGUGCUAGGUGCUUGAGUUAUUAAAUUGCCUCAGGCGCAAGUUGCAGAAAAGCACUAGUCUGAUUGAAGUAAAGCACAAUAUGUAUGUUGGUUUUCCUGUGUCUAUAUAUGGAGUGGAAGAUAUAAUAAAGUCUAAAGUUGAAUACUCAAAUAUUGAGAAGUAUGUAGUUUAAGACUAUCCAUUUCUUACUAGUAGGUAAGUCUAAUGAAAGGAAGUGAAAUUUUUUUUUUAAAGAUAACUUUAUUAAGGCUUUUUAUUCAUUUUUUUUUAUGCCCAUUGCCUUAAAAAAAGCAUACUUAGAUGGACAAACACCCACCUGAUUAAACGGGCUUGCCUGAAAGGGUUUGAUUAAAUGGACUUGCCCAAAAGGGUUUGAUUAAAUGGGUCGUUGUUUGUUUAGUGUUAAGGUGCAUGCACACCUAAGCCUGCGCUUUCUCAAAACUGGGGAAGCUGCUUGUCAUGUAGGGCUUCGAUACGUGCUCUUGGAUGUGAAGGGAGGAUUGCUAAUCGGUCCCACUUGGGUCCCAAUGUGAUUGGCAAGUGUCUUAAGUGUAAUGCCUUGUCUCAAGAGAAUCAGCCACUAUAAUCUUAUGAUUAGACCUUUACUUAGAAAGGUAUCAGAUCCUCAUUAUACUUGGUGUGGGGUUGACCUUCAUUUGUUCCAGGUGAGAUAUCGGGCUUGUCCCUUAGGCGAGGUUUUGGUGGUUUUCAGCCCUUUUAGUCCUAGGUCCAAACAUAAUUUCCUCGAAAUUAAUUUUAUGCUUCAUGUUAUUUACUGGUACAGUAGUACCUAAACGCACUCGUAGUUGUAUAUCUUUUAUUGUUUGUAGACAGAUUUCUGAGUUUUACUGGGUAGCUUUGUUAGAUGAGUACUUGGUUUUGUUUGUUGCUGUUAAUCUAGUUUAUUUUCUAUUGUAAUGUUUAACAUUUAAAGCACCUGAUGACUUUUUAUCCUACAUAAGACACCAAUUUUAUAGAACAGCUAAUGUUACUUUCUUGAUUUAGUUUUAUGUAACCUGUAAUUAAUAAGGUGAAUGAUCUAAGUUGAUAACAUAAGGACUGUUUUGCCAGAUUGACCCUGCAAAGUACAAAAGUAUCUCAUCUGGUUUCGGAGUUCUACUAAAGGAGCAAGGAGUGAGGGGCUUCUUCCGUGGUUGGGUUCCUACCCUUCUUGGUUACAGCGCACAGGGUGCUUGCAAGUUUGGAUUCUAUGAGUUCUUCAAGAAGUACUAUUCUGACCUUGCUGGACCUGAAUAUUUUGCCAAGUACAAGACUCUCAUCUAUCUUGCCGGCUCUGCAUCUGCUGAGGUGAUUGCUGAUGUUGCACUUUGCCCCUUUGAGGCAGUCAAGGUCAGGGUUCAAACCCAGCCUGGUUUUGCUAGGGGUCUGUC
Molecule: long non-coding RNA, 22249 nt
Filed under: Gossypium barbadense (sea-island cotton)
Lineage: Eukaryota; Viridiplantae; Streptophyta; Magnoliopsida; Malvales; Malvaceae
Description: long non-coding RNA (GBAR_LNC019732)
Source: RNAcentral